RNAcentral lists this long non-coding RNA (654 nucleotides) under Haliotis rufescens (red abalone). Its description in RNAcentral is "uncharacterized LOC125376043, transcript variant X4". Lineage: Eukaryota; Metazoa; Mollusca; Gastropoda; Lepetellida; Haliotidae. The record is from RNAcentral.
UUUCUUCUUCCAAGAUGAAUACAAGGCUUCACAUUCAAGCUCGGGAGGACAUAAUUCGCUAUUAUGGCACUCCUGCGGCUGUGAGUUUGUGGCCGUCUCAGGAUGAGGAGUCCGACUGUAAAAACGAUCGCUUUUGCUCCGCUGACCUCUACGUUUUGCUAACUGCUGUAUCAUUCCAAGUGUUUCUUCUUCCAAGAUGAAUACAAGGCUUCACAUUCAAGCUCGGGAGGACAUAAUUCGCUAUUAUGGCACUCCUGCGGCUGUGAGUUUGUGGCCGUCUCAGGAUGAGGAGUCCGACUGUAAAAACGAUCGCUUUUGCUCCGCUGACCUCUACGUUUUGCUAACUGCUGUAUCAUUCCAAGUGUUUCUUCUUCCAAGAUGAAUACAAGGCUUCACAUUCAAGCUCGGGAGGACAUAAUUCGCUAUUAUGGCACUCCUGCGGCUGUGAGUUUGUGGCCGUCUCAGGAUGAGGAGUCCGACUGUGUAUGUAUAAAUUUACAUGCCCACCCUGUAAAUUCUUCCGUCUAGUAUAGCUGAUUUGUUGCACAUUAAGUCUGCCCAGUCCCUAUAAUAAACUGUGAUUCGUUUUCUUUGCAAAAGUAUCCCGUAUUUCUGUCUGACCUGACUUCCUUUGUCCCUCCCUCCACCCCCCUC